GUUUCUCAGUGCUACUGAAUGAUAAAAUCGAGUAACAGGAGAUUCUCUGGGACCCAGUGGCCACAGAGCCCCUGUUCAGAGAGGAGGAGAUAGAACCAGCCCUCGGGACUGACUCCCGCCUGCGGGGACAUUGCUGAUCGGAUUCACCGCUGGCCCUCGGCAGCGCCCGUCAGGAGGGGGACACUACCAGGCAGCGGGGGCCUAUCAGUUGAUCCUUCCCGGGCUGCCACGUCCCGUGCAGAAGGCACCGUCACUUUUCCAAGAGAACAACCUGCAGGUAGCAGGUCCUCGGUGACAGGCGCUCCCCGCUGCUGGGGACAGCCCACGCAGAGCCGUGUCAGCUCUCACGAGUCUCUUUGAUAAGUACCAGGGCUGAAGGGGGACAAAAAACCCUCUUUGAAAAGUAGAGCAUCGUAGGGAGAGUCCUGAGCCUGAGAGCGACUUCCCGUCACUUCCUUCCUGGCCAACUGGCUGGUUUUAAUGUGGUUAGUGUCUCCUUACCUGUUUGCUUGUUUCUGGUCCAAAAAGCCAGUGGAGUGGAGGGCUGGACCCCGCCCCGCCCCCAGCUCCGUUCUGGACGGGUGACUUGAGUGGUCGCUCACACGGGGUGAAAGGGCAAAUGCGGGAACUCGGUUCUUCUCCUCGAGGGGGACAUCAUGUCCUCACGGUUUCUCAUCAAUCAUCGUUAUGUUAACUGAACUUAUGUAUGGGGUGCAGUCUUUGUCUCCCACAUUCUGCCUUCUGCUUCAGGGCUGGGCCUGCAGUUGCUACUUGGUGAAUAUUUCCUGGUCGGUGGCUGGAUGGCGCGCAGUUUCCUUUUCCUGAAGCCGUGUUCCAGAGUCGGUGCGUCUUCUCCACUCCAUGGGGCCUGGUGGCACACAUCUGUAAUCUCAGCGGCUCAGGAGGCUGAGGCAGGAGGAUUGCAAGCUUGAGAUGUGAACCCUGCUGCUAUUCAGGGAACCCGUCUAGACUUUCUUGUUUGUCGUCAUUAAAAAGGAAGAUGAUUUAGGAAGAAACGAGUCUUGCUUUUCUGGAGACGCAGGCUGUAGGACUAAUUGGCGGUGUUCUCUGGCUCAUGGCGAGGCCAGCCUCUGCCCACGUUAAAUUUGGGCAAUUCUACAAAACUAAGGACAACAUCCCAACCAGGACGCUGACGUGGUCAAGAGACGGAACCCACAGCGACCCUCCUCUUUUGCUCUUGGAGCUGUCUCCAGUUAAAGUGUCUUUGUGAGAACUCAACCUGAAGGGAGCUCAAGCAAGAAGAGAAAAGAGUGUCUUAGAAGAUGCAGAGUGGCAGAAUCCGUGCGAUGACCAGGACGGUCAGUGGCCCCCCUCAGAGGCAGGAAGGCCGUCCUCUGAGAGAAGCAGAGAGGUGACCAUCUCCCAUCUUCUGGUGAGGACGUCUCAGUAUUGGCUGCACUUUAUACCCGACCUGGGCCUCGCCCCGUGUCGC
Ictidomys tridecemlineatus (thirteen-lined ground squirrel) is the source of this 1453-nucleotide non-coding RNA. The record is from RefSeq and is a predicted model, not a curated record. NCBI's taxonomy places the organism in Eukaryota, Metazoa, Chordata, Mammalia, Rodentia, Sciuridae.